RNAcentral lists this ribosomal RNA (273 nucleotides) under uncultured bacterium. Its description in RNAcentral is "partial 16S ribosomal RNA". It matches the Rfam family "Bacterial small subunit ribosomal RNA", at positions 524 to 796 of the family's 1533-position model. The record is from RNAcentral.
GACGAAGGGGGCAAGCGUUGUUCGGAAUUACUGGGCGUAAAGGGCGCGUAGGCGGUCCUUUAAGUCAGGUGUGAAAGCCCUGGGCUCAACCUGGGAAUGGCACUUGAUACUGGGAGACUAGAGAGCGGGAGAGGAUGGUGGAAUUCCCAGUGUAGAGGUGAAAUUCGUAGAUAUUGGGAAGAACACCGGUGGCGAAGGCGGCCAUCUGGACCGUAUCUGACGCUGAGGCGCGAAAGCGUGGGGAGCAAACAGGAUUAGAAACCCCCGUAGUCC